This 403-nucleotide ribosomal RNA is filed under the name uncultured bacterium. RNAcentral describes it as "partial 16S ribosomal RNA". It matches the Rfam family "Bacterial small subunit ribosomal RNA", at positions 28 to 526 of the family's 1533-position model. The record is from RNAcentral.
GACGAACGCUGGCGGCGUGCCUAAUACAUGCAAGUCGAACGCAGUGGGGACGGGUGAGUAACACGUGGGUAACCUCCCAUCAGAGGGGAUAACCCUUGGAAAAUGGUGCUAACCCGCUACUGAUGGAUGGACCCGCGGUGCAUUAGCUAGUUGGUGAGGGAACGGCUCACCAAGGCCACGAUGCAUAGCCGACCUGAGAGGGUGAUCGGCCACACUGGGACUGAGACACGGCCCAGACUCCUACGGGAGGCAGCAGUAGGGAAUCUUGGGCAAUGGACGAAAGUCUGACCGAGCAACGCCGCGUGAGUGAAGAAGGUUUUCGGAUUGUAAAGCUCUGUUGGUAGAGAAGCGGUAUCUAACCAGAAAGCAACGGCUAACUACGUGCCAGCAGCCGCGGUAAUUC